GUGUUGAGAGUACAAAUGAAGAACUGACUAAAAUUUGUGUUGUGAAUCUUUUUCAGAUCCAGUGCCUUAAGCCUGAAAGUCUACAUGCAUUGUUAAGAAAACUUGUUCAUGGAGGCAUGUGGACUAUUAUAGUUCACCCAAGUCCCCUCCUGGUUGACGGUCCACAUUUGGCUUCAGGCCCCUUCUUUCCUCCCCUGGGGCAAGGUCCUGGUGGUCUGAGUGGUGAGCCAGCUUGGGGACAUGUUCCUACAGAUGUGGAGCCAGGAUUCAGAUGGCCCUGA
This 281-nucleotide long non-coding RNA is filed under the name Dasypus novemcinctus (nine-banded armadillo). RNAcentral's name for it is "lncRNA (ENSDNOG00000052497.1)". Lineage: Eukaryota; Metazoa; Chordata; Mammalia; Cingulata; Dasypodidae. The record is from RNAcentral.